Long non-coding RNA from Pygocentrus nattereri (red-bellied piranha), 488 nucleotides. RefSeq lists it as uncharacterized. The transcript is spliced from 3 exons. The record is from RefSeq and is a predicted model, not a curated record. Lineage: Eukaryota; Metazoa; Chordata; Actinopteri; Characiformes; Serrasalmidae.
UCAGGCUGUGAGAGUUGACGAGUUGAGCAUCUAAAUUUAUCACGGAUGCUGCCUCUGCUGCUCCUCUUCCUCGUCCGUCACCCUACAAUUAUGACAGACCAGUGAAGUCCUGCCACUUGUCCAGACAUCAGUAGCUGAUCUGGGGGAAAAGUUACUGACCUUCAUGGGCACCAUUUCACCUGAUAUUACUCUGGAGUUUAUUCAAAAACCUUCAGAGUUUUUGGAAGUCCUCACAACAAGUGUUCUGGCUCUGCUGAAUCUGGCCAAAGAGACAGAAGAGCAGGAGUAAGACUGAGACAGCCUGGGUUUUGUACACCUUUACUGUCUUUAUUUCUGUCCAAUCUCAAUGCAGUAAAAUGGAAGAAUUACUUUUACUAAACAAAAACCAACAAGCACUUUGUAAUUUGCCUUCUGGCUUUCUGAGCUGACCCUGGACACCGUGCUGCACAGAGCGGUGUCCAGUGUGUUUUUUUUUUUUUUUUUUUACC